RNAcentral lists this ribosomal RNA (251 nucleotides) under uncultured bacterium. RNAcentral's name for it is "partial 16S ribosomal RNA". It matches the Rfam family "Bacterial small subunit ribosomal RNA", at positions 524 to 776 of the family's 1533-position model. The record is from RNAcentral.
GACGGGGGGGGCAAGUGUUCUUCGGAAUUACUGGGCGUAAAGGGCACGUAGGCGGUGAAUCGGGUUGAAAGUGAAAGUCGCCAAAAAGUGGCGGAAUGCUCUCGAAACCAAUUCACUUGAGUGAGACAGAGGAGAGUGGAAUUUCGUGUGUAGGGGUGAAAUCCGUAGAUCUACGAAGGAACGCCAAAAGCGAAGGCAGCUCUCUGGGUCCCUACCGACGCUGGGGUGCGAAAGCGUGGGGAGCAAACAGG